Non-coding RNA from Lepisosteus oculatus (spotted gar), 3813 nucleotides. Lineage: Eukaryota; Metazoa; Chordata; Actinopteri; Semionotiformes; Lepisosteidae. The record is from RefSeq and is a predicted model, not a curated record.
UCUGAGGCAUUAUUUCUUAACGUCUGGAAGCUUACAGUAUGUAAUGUACACUUGUUGGUGCCAGAUAACUGGUUAAAAGCAGCAUUGCUUAUUAAAAUAAACCUUUAUUUUCAGCAUUUCCCAAAGAAGAAAUUCCAAAUGAUUCCUGAAGUAUUUCAAGAAAAUGAUGUUUGAUAUUUAUCUGACUUACUGCUAAAUUGCAGGGAUGAAAGGAUGUUGGGAAACUACAGACUGAGGUUAAAGAAGUUUAGCAUGCCGUCACAUAUUCAGGCCAGCUUCUACAGGUGCUCUGUUGAGAGUAUCCUGUCUGGCUACAUCACUGCCUGGUAUGGGAACUGCUCCACCCGGGAUCGCAAAGUACCGCAGAGGGUGGUGAAAUCGGCACUGCUCCUCACCGGCUGUGUGCUACCAGACAUCGAGGAUAUCUACUCUGUUAGAAGCCUCAAGAAAGCCAGGUCAAUACUCAAGGACCUCAGUCACCCAAACCACAAUCUGUUUUCCCUACUACCGCCUGGAAAAUAAUACCGAAGCCUACAGACAAAGACCAGCCGAUUUCAAAACAGCUUUUUCCCUAGGGCAAUAAGACUGCUGAACAGCCAGAUACAGCAGAUACCAGCAAUUACCCAAACGACCGCUGAUAAAUAGUCAGUCCACUGCAUUUUUUUCUCGCCUGCCCCUUUUUUUAAUAUUGCAUAAUCUUGUUAAAUGUUAAUGUAUAAUUUAUUGUAUUCAUCUUGUAACCUUCUAUCAAGUUCUGUCCUAUCUCUCCUUAGCGAGCUUGUGGAAAAUGGAUUUCACUGCCCACAACCACCUCUGUAUGCUGUAUUGUUUUGCAUUGAUAAAUAAAUCUUGAUCGAUUGACAAGAAAAAAGGACAAAUACAGCAAAUAGCUAUUGCUCUAUCAAAACCAAUAAAGAAGCUCUGUGCUUUCCUCCCAAAAUAUUGAGAUACAAAGUGCAUCUACAGUACAUAGUACUGUAUCUUUGAACUAUUUUGUUUAAAUUUAAAGACAAAAAGAGUAAGGAUCAUAAUCAUGAACGAUUAUUUCAAAAUAAUUUAAAGGUCAGUUUAUAAACUAAAACCCAAAAACCUCCUAGAAAUCUGAGCCUUGCUGGUACAUCACAAGCUUUUUCAUCAUCAAGUUAUUUGGUUUUCAUUAAAUGAAUUCUUGAUGUCAGUUGGUAUUAACUCUUGUUGAGAAAAACAAAAGUGUAUUUAAUACUGUAUAGUAUACAGCUUGAGAACAAUUUCAAGGUGCAAGACAACAGUUUACUGUUCCUCAGUAACCCCUUGCAUUAGGUUUUAUCUAGCACUAUAUUGAAUAUCCUUUAACAGUUGCCCUUAGAAUUCAAAGCAUUCACUAUGAAUUACAGGACCCCUGGGUUAUGGAAAUAAUUGAAUUGGAAGUCUUCUGGAAAUCUUUAAUACCAAAUUUCUUAAUACCUUUUUAAAUGUCAGGAUGCAGUGGUGUCAAAAUAGUGUAUUCAGAGCAGUGAGGCCUGAUUUAUUUAAAGUGAAAGUUGAGCUAAUGUAUUUUACAAAUGAAACAUGACAUCUCUGCUACAUUUGCAGUUAAACUCUUCACUUUGUUCCUGAAUGAUUAAUGCACUAAGACUUGUGACCACAUACACAUACAAAACAAACAGGGUCUGUAUUUAGUCAACGCAUGUAGGUGGAUAUUUUGCUAAUCACAAGAGCAAAUUGUCAUACAUUUGAUAUAGUUCCAGAUUUAUUUUCACCCUAAUUAACUAAAUCGCAACAGUUCUGUAUACACACACAUUAAUACUGCUUUCCAAUGACUUCCACAGAUUGAGAACUGGAACCAGAUGAAAUGAUUUUUUAUUUCACUACUUGUAUACUCUUUCCAUUCCCCGGAAAUUAAAUACCUCAAGACCACAAACCAGCAAGGCAUUCAGUAGAAGUCAGUCCAAUGUGACCUUGCUGUGUUCUAAUAAAAUGAAAUAAAGUUUAUUGACUCUGAAAUGCCACUAACUAAUUAAUUCUAUUCAGCUUAAGAAUGGCUUCUGGGCCUUUUAAUGGUACAUGAAAGUUACUAGUUGCCCGUGUUGGGAUCUUUAUCCAAUGUAAAACGCAAUAAAUAUUAAAUGCAAGUACAAAAGGAGAAAAAGAACUAGUCCAAUAAUCCCUGUAUAGGAAACACACUGUAAGGGCAGCACAGUACAUCAAAGAAAACGUGCCCAACAAUUGCAGGCAUAUACACAUUCAGUAGCACAGAAUGAAAACAGUACUGUAGAUAUUGUAACUAGGUAGAAUGUGAAGAAGAUGAAAGCUGGAAGAAUACGUUUUGAGUGAAUAUAGUCAUAACGUCAACCAUCUUAACUGGUUAAGUAUUAAAUACACUUACUGCAUACUUAAGGAUGUAGUUCAGAGCUGAGAGGUUACAGGUACUAUCUAAGCAGCGCCAGAAAGUGCUCGGGGUCUAAACAUUCCUGGUUUCUGCAGGUACUGUAGUUUCAUUCUGCUUCCGAGGAGCAAGAGAAUUAACUGACUCUGGGAAUGAGGGAGGGGAGCGAUGGGACAGAUGAUCAGGAGGGCAACAAGGAUCACAGGCAGGAAUAAGAAGCAGAAGAAGUGUGUUUGAGACCAUAUUUAAGGUGAUUUGAUUUGCCAUCAAUUAAUUUACUGCUUAUUUUGACUAUUUUUCCCAGCAUAUUACAAUCAAUGGUACUGGUGUUACCAAACCAGCCAUUUCUGACCAAAAACAUUAUAAUUACUUAAAAUCCUUUUACAGAGGUUUUUUUAUAGUUCAUGCCCAGCCAAGUUCACCCUAUGUUAUUACCAUGAUGGGGAUUUUAUGGCCUAGUUGCUAUUCCUGUUGAUGUUAUCCUUUCAGCUAUUUCUGAAGUAUCACAUACAACAGCAGGUGUCUGUUUAAAAUUCCCUCACGCCAGGUCAGGAGUAAUGACCCCAGGCCAGAGUCAGAUUUCUAUACUUUCUGGGAUCGGAUCCAGCUUCCCUGCGACCCUGAAUUUGAUGAAGCGGUUAGAAAAUUAAUGGAUGGAUGACAGCUCAAAAGAACUUGGUAAAAAUAAUUUAAGGCCUUACUCAGGGAAGACUGUGAGUGGACCCGAUUCAAGUACUUUUUGUGAAACCUUUUCCAACAUACAUUAUUUCUACAGUGUUUGCUGUUUGUUCUUCAGCAGAAGUGGGAAGGUGUUCCUACUGUAUACUGUAUGUCAACAGAGUAGCUUCCUAAAGUUAACUAUAAGUACAGCACAAAUGUAGUUCACUGUGGUAUUAUGGCCCUUGUACUUUCUGCGAAGAAAAAUGAUGUUUGUAUUUCUGCACUCCAAAAAUGCUUUAUUUUCAUUUUUCGGGUUAUUGAUUGGUAAUAAAUUGUACUGCUCAGACUUUAAAUUUGUUAAAUUUUGACAAUGUUUCCUUCUUUACAGAUUUUAAUGUCCUUUACAGAAGGAUUUUACAAAUGUGUACAAAUAAUGUAAAAUUAAGAUGUUGCAAUUUUAUCACUGGAUGGGCAAACAUUGCUUUAGAAAACAUAAUUAAAUGCUAAAGAGUAUGAGUCCUCUUGACUCAAGUUAAUAACAUUGUUGACAUUUGCUCUUAUACUGUAUGUACAGUAGAUUUUUCCACAGAAUGAAACUGAUUGUUCCCCCCACUUAAAAAUGUUAUAUUGUCAUGUGCUGCUUAAUAGGAUUAUUUGCUUUAAAAUGCAAAAUAAAUAUCUAGACUGAUAGUUUUUAAAAAUUAAAUUAGUCAUUAGUAAUUCAUUUUUUAAAUUAGGAUAAGAAACUUUUGAUUGUAGUGCAUUUGAAUGUUUGGAGAUGCGGCUGA